Molecule: long non-coding RNA, 243 nt
Filed under: Ananas comosus (pineapple)
Lineage: Eukaryota; Viridiplantae; Streptophyta; Magnoliopsida; Poales; Bromeliaceae
Description: long non-coding RNA (ACOM_LNC030564)
Source: RNAcentral
UUAAAAUUUAAAUUUUAAGCUUGAACAUUUUAUAUUCUAAAUUUACAUUUAAAUUUUGGAUAAUAAAAAAUUUUAAAUUUUAAAUAUUUAAUUAUUUAUUUUAGUUUUACUUAAUUUUUAUAACCAACUUUAGCAAAUAAUGUUGAAUAAUUUAUUUAAAAAAUUUUAAAAAUUGCGUAAAUUUUUCGCAGCGAAGCGCGGGGCCUUCACUAAUAACAUAUAAUUGAUGAGUUUGGAGAAAUU